CCUUCGAUAGCUCAGUUGGUAGAGCGGUGGACUGUAGAGUGUAUUCAAAUAGUAAUCCAUAGGUCGCUGGUUCAAAUCCGGCUCGAAGGA
Molecule: transfer RNA, 90 nt
Filed under: Anopheles sinensis
Lineage: Eukaryota; Metazoa; Arthropoda; Insecta; Diptera; Culicidae
Description: tRNA tRNA-Tyr
Rfam family: tRNA
About the family: Transfer RNA (tRNA) molecules are approximately 80 nucleotides in length. Their secondary structure includes four short double-helical elements and three loops (D, anti-codon, and T loops). Further hydrogen bonds mediate the characteristic L-shaped molecular structure. tRNAs have two regions of fundamental functional importance: the anti-codon, which is responsible for specific mRNA codon recognition, and the 3' end, to which the tRNAs corresponding amino acid is attached (by aminoacyl-tRNA synthetases). tRNAs cope with the degeneracy of the genetic code in two manners: having more than one tRNA (with a specific anti-codon) for a particular amino acid; and 'wobble' base-pairing, i.e. permitting non-standard base-pairing at the 3rd anti-codon position.
Source: Rfam by way of RNAcentral